This 1038-nucleotide long non-coding RNA is filed under the name Mytilus galloprovincialis (Mediterranean mussel). The record is from RNAcentral. Lineage: Eukaryota; Metazoa; Mollusca; Bivalvia; Mytilida; Mytilidae.
GAAAUAGUUUCAAAGAAUUCUACAUUUAUAUCAAAGAAGUCAGAAAUGUAUUGAUAAUAGGGAGUCAUAAUACGACAGUAAUGGAAGAUUCAUCCAAUGGUCACUAUGAAUUAAUUAUUAUAAAUUUGCAAUUGUCAUAUCUUUGUCAUUGUUAAAGUAAUCAAGGGCAAUAACUCUGUAACUGCCUAUAAGAAUAUCAUCAAACGAACUUGACCUUCAUUUUGUAAUGAAAAUAUUGAAUAAAAUUGAAGUAAUAACGUUUGAUGAAGAGGGGGAGUUUUCCUGCUACAGAAACAUAUACUCUUCUAACACAAAUAAGCAUCUUUUUUAAUUAAAGAUUUACCCUUGUUGGCACUGAUUAUACAAAUUAUUUCAAGGGUCAACCUUAUAAAUAUAACCUUUUGCAUUAAAUAUGAAAAAUAAGUUUUCAAUCCAGGAACAGUUAAAUGUUGCUAUUCAGGAGUAAUAUGGUAUAUUAGAAUUUAAACUGCAGUUUGAUGAAGUAUGUGGCAUUCAGAAAUAAUAAUGCAUUAUGUGUCAAGAUCAAGUAAACAGAUGGUGAUGGAUGGCUGCUUAAUGUCUAACAGCAAAUUAAUAUUCAUAUUCAGGACAAGAUCAUGCCAGUAUUAAUGUUACAUGUAUUAUUAACCCUGCUUUGUACUAGACAGAAACUCUGAUCUGAAUGGCACAAGUCAACAAGGUAGCAAUCCACAAGAAGACACGUUUUCUUACCCAGACAAUUUAUUCUGACCCUGAGCCAACCAGUCUUUGUUCUUAAUCCUUAAGGAAAAGUGCUUAGUAUAUGGUUUGAAGUGGCUAGGUUUUGAAUCCACAACCUCUGGCACUCAAGGCAAUUAAAAAAAAUACUAAAUGAUUACUAAGGCGGUCAAGUGAAGCACAGAAACUAUAUUUAGCCCAUACUUCAUCUAGAAAUUAUAUCUUUCAAUACAGCAUAUAAAAUUGAGAAUAGAAAUUGGGAAUAUGUCAAUGAGAUAACAACCCGCCAAAGAAACCUAUUUAACUUAAGUUGACCAUAAU